Molecule: ribosomal RNA, 299 nt
Filed under: uncultured bacterium
Lineage: Bacteria
Description: partial 16S ribosomal RNA
Rfam family: Bacterial small subunit ribosomal RNA
Source: RNAcentral
GACGAACGCUGGCGGCGUGCUUAACACAUGCAAGUCGAGCGGUAAGGCCCUUUCGGGGGUACACGAGCGGCGAACGGGUGAGUAACACGUGGGUGACCUGCCCUCAGCUCUGGGAUAAGCCUGGGAAACCGGGUCUAAUACCGGAUAUGACUCCAUGACGCAUGUUGUGGGGUGGAAAGCCUUGUGCGGCUGAGGAUGGGCCCGCGGCCUAUCAGCUUGUUGGUGGGGGAUGGCCUACCAAGGCGACGACGGGUAGCCGGCCUGAGAGGGCGACCGGCCACACUGGGACUGAGACACGG